AGUGGGGAAUAUUGGACAAUGGGGGCAACCCUGAUCCAGCCAUGCCGCGUGAGUGAUGAAGGCCUUCGGGUUGUAAAGCUCUUUUGGCGGGGACGAUGAUGACGGUACCCGCAGAAUAAGCCCCGGCUAACUUCGUGCCAGCAGCCGCGGUAAGACGAAGGGGGCUAGCGUUGUUCGGAAUUACUGGGCGUAAAGCGAGUGUAGGUGGUUAUCCAAGUUGGAUGUGAAAGCCUUGAGCUCAACUCAAGAAAUGCAUUCAGGACUGGAUGACUAGAGGACCGGAGAGGAUAGUGGAAUUCCCAGUGUAGUGGUGAAAUACGUAGAGAUUGGGAAGAACACCAGUGGCGAAGGCGGCUAUCUGGACGGUUUCUGACACUAAGACUCGAAAGCGUGGGGAGCAAA
RNAcentral lists this ribosomal RNA (402 nucleotides) under uncultured Reyranella sp. RNAcentral's name for it is "bacterial SSU rRNA". It matches the Rfam family "Bacterial small subunit ribosomal RNA", at positions 353 to 772 of the family's 1533-position model. Lineage: Bacteria; Pseudomonadati; Pseudomonadota; Alphaproteobacteria; Hyphomicrobiales; Reyranellaceae. The record is from RNAcentral.